UCCCAGACUCCUACGGGAGGCAGCAGUGAGGAAUAUUGGUCAAUGGGCGCGAGCCUGAACCAGCCAAGUCGCGUGAGGGAAGACGGUCCUAUGGAUUGUAAACCUCUUUUGUCGGGGAGCAAAAGACGCCACGCGUGGCGUUCCGAGAGUACCCGAAGAAAAAGCAUCGGCUAACUCCGUGCCAGCAGCCGCGGUAAUACGGAGGAUGCGAGCGUUAUCCGGAUUUAUUGGGUUUAAAGGGUGCGCAGGCGGAAGAUUAAGUCAGCGGUAAAAUUUCGGGGCUCAACCCCGUCGUGCCGUUGAAACUGGCGUUCUUGAGUGAGCGAGAAGUAUGCGGAAUGCGUGGUGUAGCGGUGAAAUGCAUAGAUAUCACGCAGAACUCCGAUUGCGAAGGCAGCGUACCGGCGCCCAACUGACGCUGAAGCACGAAGGCGUGGGUAUCGAACAGGAUUAGAUACCCUAGUAA
This 466-nucleotide ribosomal RNA is filed under the name uncultured bacterium. RNAcentral describes it as "bacterial SSU rRNA". It matches the Rfam family "Bacterial small subunit ribosomal RNA", at positions 329 to 793 of the family's 1533-position model. The record is from RNAcentral.